This 62-nucleotide transfer RNA is filed under the name Laticauda laticaudata (blue-ringed sea krait). RNAcentral describes it as "tRNA-Glu". Lineage: Eukaryota; Metazoa; Chordata; Lepidosauria; Squamata; Elapidae. The record is from RNAcentral.
GUUUUUGUAGUUGAUAUACAACGGUGGUUUUUCGAGCCGCAGGACUCUAAUGGGCAAAAAUU